CAAAGAGGAGCUCAAGAAGAUCUCAGACAGAGUCACACUCACCAACAUUGUUCUCUGGACCAGGAAGGACUUCCUACAAUAUUCCCGUCAGCUCACUCUGGAUCUGAACACAGUGAAUAAACUCCUCCGUCUGUCUGAGAACAACAGAGUGAUUACUGACACUGUCACAGUUCAGCCAUAUCCUGAUCAUCCAGACAGAUUUGAUUAUUAUCUUCAGGUGUUGUGUAGAGAGAGUGUGUGUGGACGCUGUUACUGGGAGCUGGAGUGGAGUGCUGGUGAAUCUGGUUUUGUGUAUAUAUCAGUGUCAUAUAAGAGCAUCAGCAGGAAGGGACAGGGUGAUGAGUGUGUGCUUGGAUUUAAUGAUCAGUCCUGGAGUUUGAUCUGCUCUUCCUCCAGAUACUCAUUCAGACACAAUAACAAACAGACUGCUCUCUCUGUGAAGUCCGUCAGCAGUAGAAUAGGAGUGUUUGUGGAUC
Cyprinus carpio (common carp) is the source of this 476-nucleotide long non-coding RNA. RefSeq lists it as uncharacterized. Lineage: Eukaryota; Metazoa; Chordata; Actinopteri; Cypriniformes; Cyprinidae. The transcript is spliced from 3 exons. The record is from RefSeq and is a predicted model, not a curated record.